CGAAUUCGCCCUUAGAGUUUGAUCCUGGCUCAGGACGAACGCUGGCGGUGUGCUUUACACAUGCAAGUCGAACGGUGAACCACCUUCGGGUGGGAAUCACUGGCGAACGGGUGAUUAACACGUGGGCAACCUGCCCCGAGCACUGGGAUAACAAUGGGAAACCCCUGCUCAUAACGCAUACCACCACCGACCCCAUGGUCGGGCCGAGGAAAGGAUUCGGGUUCGGGAUGGGACCCCGGCCAAUCACCUAGAUGGCGGGGUAAUGGCCUAUCAAGGACACGACUGGUAGCCGGCCUGAAAGGGCGACUCGGCCACACUGGGACUGACAGAGCGUCCUCAGCCCUACCGGAGGCAUCAGCGGGGAAUAUUGUGAAAUAGGCUAAAGCCUGACACGCCAUCAUCCCUUGAGGGAUGACGGUCUUCCAGGCGUAAACCUCUUUCACCUCAUACCAAACUGAUGUGACGGUAAGAACUCAAGAACCAGCCGCUAACUACGUGCCGCCAGCCGCGGUAAUACGUAGGCUGCAAGCUUUGUC
This 536-nucleotide ribosomal RNA is filed under the name uncultured bacterium. Its description in RNAcentral is "bacterial SSU rRNA". It matches the Rfam family "Bacterial small subunit ribosomal RNA", at positions 1 to 545 of the family's 1533-position model. The record is from RNAcentral.